RNAcentral lists this ribosomal RNA (253 nucleotides) under uncultured bacterium. Its description in RNAcentral is "partial 16S ribosomal RNA". It matches the Rfam family "Bacterial small subunit ribosomal RNA", at positions 524 to 776 of the family's 1533-position model. The record is from RNAcentral.
UACAGAGGUGGCAAGCGUUGUUCGGAAUUACUGGGCGUAAAGGGCGCGUAGGCGGCCUUCUAAGUCAGACGUGAAAUCCCUCGGCUCAACCGGGGAACUGCGUCUGAGACUGGAAGGCUUGGAUCCGGGAGAGGGAUGUGGAAUUCCAGGUGUAGCGGUGAAAUGCGUAGAUAUCUGGAGGAACACCGGUGGCGAAGGCGGCAUCCUGGACCGGUAUUGACGCUGAGGCGCGAAAGCCAGGGGAGCAAACGGG